UACGUAGGGUGCGAGCGUUAAUCGGAAUUACUGGGCGUAAAGCGUGCGCAGGCGGUUUUGUAAGUCAGAUGUGAAAUCCCCGGGCUUAACCUGGGAACUGCGUUUGAAACUACAAGGCUAGAGUGUGGCAGAGGGGGGUGGAAUUCCACGUGUAGCAGUGAAAUGCGUAGAUAUCAGGAGGAACACCGAUGGCGAAGGCAGGCCUCUGGGCUGACACUGACGCUCAUGCACGAAAGCGUGGGGAGCAAACAGG
RNAcentral lists this ribosomal RNA (253 nucleotides) under uncultured bacterium. RNAcentral describes it as "partial 16S ribosomal RNA". It matches the Rfam family "Bacterial small subunit ribosomal RNA", at positions 524 to 776 of the family's 1533-position model. The record is from RNAcentral.